CCUACGGGAGGCAGCAGUAGGGAAUCUUUCACAAUGGGCGAAAGCCUGAUGGAGCAACGCCACGUGCAGGAUGAAGGCCUUCGGGUUGUAAACUGCUUUUAUAAGCGAGAAAUAUGAUGGUAAUUUAUGACAAAGCAUCGGCUAACUCCGUGCCAUCAGCCGCGGUAAUACGGAGGAUGCGAGCGUUAUCCGGAUUUAUUGGGUUUAAAGGGUGCGCAGGCGGAGGCACAAGUCAGCGGUAAAAUCGCGGGGCUCAACCCCGCUCCGCCGUUGAAACUGUGUCCCUUGAGUGCGCGAAGGGUAGGCGGAAUGCGUGGUGUAGCGGUGAAAUGCAUAGAUAUCACGCAGAACUCCGAUCGCGAAGGCAGCCUACCGGCGCGCAACUGACGCUCAUGCACGAAAGCGUGGGUAUCGAACAGGAUUAGAUACCCCAGUAGUC
This 439-nucleotide ribosomal RNA is filed under the name uncultured bacterium. RNAcentral describes it as "partial 16S ribosomal RNA". It matches the Rfam family "Bacterial small subunit ribosomal RNA", at positions 338 to 795 of the family's 1533-position model. The record is from RNAcentral.